Non-coding RNA from Coturnix japonica (Japanese quail), 3411 nucleotides. NCBI's taxonomy places the organism in Eukaryota, Metazoa, Chordata, Aves, Galliformes, Phasianidae. The record is from RefSeq and is a predicted model, not a curated record.
CUCUGGUGGGGAUUGCCUCAGCACUUCCCAGUGAAGGCAUUCACAUUGGCUUUACUUAAAUUGAGAUGGAGCAAAAGAUGCUGACACGUGGAUAGGAAGGCAGUAUCUGGUGCUGUAUGUGAAGACAUGACUGAGCAGAAAAUUGAAGGGGGAGGAGGGAAGCCCAAAAUUCUGGUAACAUACCAAGUGAUGGAAUAUCCAGUUUGUACUCCAGAUGGUCACCUUCAUAUUCAGGUUCUGGCAAAGGAGCUGUUCUUUUUUGAGGAAGCCUAGCAGGACUGACUGCUGGGGACACUUGGAUUCUCUAUCUACAGGGAUGCACUUGUAUAGCUCUUUCUGUUGGACAUCUGCAGUUGGGUGUGCAGGUGAUGCUCUGCAAAAUGGACCCUCUAUAUGGCUAAAACUAUCUGUGUCUGAAGGCAAGUUCUCUGAUUGUACAGCAGUACAGAGGAAGCUGGAAACUUGAUGAAAUACUUCUGUUGGUCCCGCUUAAGUUUUUAAAUCAUAAUAAUCAAUAGAAGGUGAUGUCUAAUAGUACAUACCAACUGUGAUAAAACAGAAUCAUUGACAGAUAUAAUUGCUAUUAGGCUAUAAGCUGUCAAUGUGCAACUACAUCCUGGCUCUGUAAUUUCACUGCAGGGCUCUCAUUCAGACCAUUCAGCAAAAGUGUAUCCACUCCAUCUACCUUUUGAGUAGAAAGCUGCAAGUAUCAACUUCCUGUAGAGACUGAGUUGACUAGGAGCUGUACCCUCCCCCCUGCCAUAAGUUUUUAGUUUUGUUGAAAGCUUGAGUCUCUUUCAAUCUUAGCGUAUUUCACCCUUUUUUAAAAGUUAGUUUCCUAAUGGCCAUAUGGUCAACCAAGAAUUAAUGCACUAAUGACAAGCUGCCAGUUUCAUUCCAAAAUGAGUUUCUCUAAGAAUGGUCUUCUCUGAAAAUGUGACACAGAUAAGUAACAGUUCUGAGCUGCAUGUGGCCCCUUGUCUGUCUCCUUGCCUGCUGUUUGUUGAUUUUUAAAUCUAAAUUCGGUCUCUGGUAAAUAUAAAAGUGAAAUUAAAGACUAAGGGAGUAUAGAUAACCAAAUUUUAUAGCACAAGGGCUCUCAGUUUUGAAACUUUUAGAAUCUGACAAGAUUAUCUUUUCCCUUCUGAGCAUUAUGUGUUUUAUUUUGCCCUAAUGGGUUGUUUUUGGCAAGAUGAUACAUGGAAAGAGGAGUGUGUUUAAAGUGGGAAAAAUUUAGUAAGAAUUGCCAUCCUGAAGUAGUGGAAAAAAUGCAUAAUACAGAAAUGUGUGUGUAUUUAAAGAAGCCUUUUCCUUCCCUGUUUUUAAAAAAAGCAAAGAAAAAAAGUCAUAAUUGUGAAAACUAGUAUCUGCAAUUUCAUCUUGAUCUCUGACUUUAUGCAAGUUAUGAACUUUUCUUGAAAAGUCAUUUUUUCAGGAAGUUCCAAGCUAGUCCCAGGGUUAUAUCUUGAAUAUAAGUGAACAUAACAUUCAUCUUCAUUUUUUCCCGCUUUUUGUUGAUAGGUAAUUUCUCUAUGUUUUCAGUGUUAGACUUGUCUCAAAUGUCAUUCAAGGUAUUAUUCUCAUGUAUAACUAUUUUCUACAUCUCCUUCAGUAAUUCCAGUCUAUUGUCUUUUGCAACAUCUUGUAUUCAGAUCACAUAAGUUUACCGGUGCAGAGAUUGAGUGAGAAUGCUCAAGUGAGUAGCUUAAUUUUGACUUGCGCUACCAGCAACAGUAGAAAAUAAAUUUCUCAGUGAAUGCUUUGUUUUAUUUCCUUGCUAUGGAAAUCUUUUUAGUUUUAAAUGAGCACUAUGACUGAAAUAAUUAAUCAGUGUUGUUAUAUGGCUCAACUUGGAAAAUGUUUUCUGUUUUAGCUUUCAAGUGCUGUUUCUUGUGCUUUCUUUUGUUUGUAUUAAUUACAUGGUAGCAUUUUAUCUAAUCGGAGAACUUCUGUAAAAUUGUUCAGUCAGAAUGUGAACACUCAACUCAACAACAGAUGCAAUGACCAGCUAAACUGAACAAAUUUAAGGAAGCAUCAUUACAGAUGGUAUACUUGGGCUUCAGAAAGGAUAAUCUUUUUUUUUUUUUUUUUUCCUUGCCCUUUCUCUCCUGAGAAAGUCCACAAGAAAACUGUAGAUAAUGUAGCUACUGGGAUGUGGUGCCACUUGUUUUUCCCACUCAGAGAUCUCCUGGGAGAGAUGAGCCUUGUACGCUGUGUGUGUGUUUGGGGGAGAGGGGGAAUUCAAACCCUGCAAAAUUGCUGCUGCAGCAAAGUUUUCCUUUCUUAUGUCAGAGAAGUCUCCAUCUUGAGAUCUAUAAAAUAGGGAUGCAUGAACCCAGAAUUCUCUGUUUACACAUCUGGUGUUCACUUCUUUACUACUCUUGUCAUUUUUCAUGUGUGUGGUUUUCUUGUUGAUGUGGGUUUCUUUAGUUUGCUUUUAGUAGACCUAAAUAAACAAUGUACUUAUGGACUUCCUUUUAAGAAAAAAGAUUAAAUUCUCUUAUCCCUUUAAAUGACAUCUAUUGUCAUUAUCCUCUGAAAUUAACAACUAAAAUGUAAAUGGAGAUGGUAGCAUUCAGUGUUAAAUUGUCGAGAUCAUACUUGUAUUAUGUUCUUCAAAGAAUAUCUACUAAUUGAUAAUUACAUUUGGUUAUGGUUUUAGAGGUCAAAAUGUGGCAGACAGUUAUCUCUGUAACACAUGUGGAGCUGGAGUCGCUCAGACACAGGCCAUCUAACACUGUGUUCUGUGCCUGAAUUGUCAACAGAAGCUGCUGUCAGAGUUCUUAUUUUGUUACGAAAAAUGUUGUAGUUGUGAUGGAAAUAGUAGAGUACUUCCAAGGUUUCAGAAUAUGUCCCCAUGCUGCACUUCAAAGUAUGGUUUUUAUUGUCAUAUGAAAAAAUAGUCUGCUAGAAAGAAACAGUAAUUUUUGUCUUUUGCCUCUGCCAGUUAGCAAUCAUUGGUGUCACACGGACAUAACCGUUCAUAGUACAUACUAGAAGGAAAGAGGAGCAUAUAGGAAAUAAACAGUAUAGUUCCAUAAUUUACAAGUUGUGUUUGUUUGUUUUUGCCAUGACCAGCUGAACACCAAAUAAAAGUUGGGGGUGCAGGGAAAGUAACUUCCAGAUAUCUCAUGACACUUGGGAAGAAGUUCUUAUGGAUCUUGCCUCAGAGUAGCUUCUGGCAAUUAUAGUGAAAUAAGUUUGGAUAGCAAAUGUUGUUCCUGAUUUAUCAGGCAGAUCUUGUUAAUAUGGUAUUCAGCACCUGAUUGCUCCCAGUAUUAAAGUUGUUCCAAUAAUAAAGGCAAAUUUUACCUCAUUCAAGAAAUUACAACAUAGUUUGAAAAUGAUGAAUAUCCUUGCUGUGUAAUCUCUUGAAAAUAAUCCACGGUUUCUCUCUUCUUGCAGUUCUUC